RNAcentral lists this ribosomal RNA (497 nucleotides) under uncultured bacterium. Its description in RNAcentral is "partial 16S ribosomal RNA". It matches the Rfam family "Bacterial small subunit ribosomal RNA", at positions 28 to 507 of the family's 1533-position model. The record is from RNAcentral.
GAUGAACGCUGGCGGCGUGCCUAAUACAUGCAAGUCGAGCGAACAGACGAGGAGCUUGCUCCUCUGACGUUAGCGGCGGACGGGUGAGUAACACGUGGAUAACCUACCUAUAAGACUGGGAUAACUUCGGGAGACCGGAGCUAAUACCGGAUAAUAUAUUGAACCGCAUGGUUCAAUAGUGAAAGACGGAUUUGCUAUCACUUAUAGAUGGAUCCGCGCCGCAUGAGCUAGUUGGUAAGGUAACGGCUUACCAAGGCAACGAUGCGUAGCCGACCUGAGAGGGUGAUCGGCCACACUGGCACUGAGACACGGUCCAGACUCCUACGGGAGGCAGCAGUAGGGAAUCUUCCGCAAUGGGGGAAAGCUUGACGGAGCAACGCCGCGUGAGUGAUGAAGGUCUUCGGAUCGUAAAACUCUGUUAUUAGGGAAGAACAAAUGUGUAAGUAACUAUGCACGUCUUGACGGUACCUAAUCAGAAAGCCACGGCUAACUACGUG